RNAcentral lists this ribosomal RNA (539 nucleotides) under Latilactobacillus sakei. Its description in RNAcentral is "bacterial SSU rRNA". It matches the Rfam family "Bacterial small subunit ribosomal RNA", at positions 67 to 591 of the family's 1533-position model. The record is from RNAcentral. Lineage: Bacteria; Bacillati; Bacillota; Bacilli; Lactobacillales; Lactobacillaceae.
UUGCUCCUGAUUGAUAAACAUUUGAGUGAGUGGCGGACGGGUGAGUAACACGUGGGUAACCUGCCCUAAAGUGGGGGAUAACAUUUGGAAACAGAUGCUAAUACCGCAUAAAACCUAACACCGCAUGGUGUAGGGUUGAAAGAUGGUUUCGGCUAUCACUUUAGGAUGGACCCGCGGUGCAUUAGUUAGUUGGUGAGGUAAAGGCUCACCAAGACCGUGAUGCAUAGCCGACCUGAGAGGGUAAUCGGCCACACUGGGACUGAGACACGGCCCAGACUCCUACGGGAGGCAGCAGUAGGGAAUCUUCCACAAUGGACGAAAGUCUGAUGGAGCAACGCCGCGUGAGUGAAGAAGGUUUUCGGAUCGUAAAACUCUGUUGUUGGAGAAGAAUGUAUCUGAUAGUAACUGAUCAGGUAGUGACGGUAUCCAACCAGAAAGCCACGGCUAACUACGUGCCAGCAGCCGCGGUAAUACGUAGGUGGCAAGCGUUGUCCGGAUUUAUUGGGCGUAAAGCGAGCGCAGGCGGUUUCUUAAGUCUG